AAAGAGAUUACAGUUGUAGAGGAUUAGCUGAAGAAGAUCAAAGAAGAUCACAGAUGAAAGUCAGAUAAAGAUGGUUAUAAUUAAAAAAAAAGGUCAGUUAAAAGAGAUUACAGUUGAAAAAGGUUAGCUGAAAAAGGUCAGAUAAAGAUGGUUACAAUUAAAAAAAAGGUCAGUAAAAAGAGAUUACAGUUGAAGAGGGUUAGCUGAAAAAGGUCCAAAAAGGUCACAGAUGAAAAUGGUCACAGAAGGUCACUGAUGAAGAAAGUUUUACUAGAAGGUCGCAGAAGAGGCUAGGGUGCAGAAAUGUUCAAGAAUAUAGCCUGAAGCCUCUCCUAAGUGUGGGGUGCUGAGCUGAGGUGCAGAAGGGAUCAGUGAGGUUAGGUUAAGUUUGGUGCUGAGUUGUUCCAGGAGUCAGCUUAUUUAGUCACUGCGUUUAUGUUAUGAAGCAUUUAUUUUGGGUAUUAUCUGUAUUUGAGAAAUCCAUGUAGUUUUUUUAAUUUUUUUUUUAUGGUAGUUUAAGUUAGUUAGGUUGUUUGGUGCUGAGUUGUUCCGGGAGUCAGCUUAUUUAGUCACUGCGUUUAUGUUACGAAGCAUUUAUUUUGGGUAUUAUUUGUAUUAGAGAAAUCCAUGUUUGUUUGUUUUUAUCUUCAUGGUAGUUUAAGUUAGUUAGGUCAAGUUUGGUGCUGAGUUGUUCCGGGAGUCAGCUUAUUUAGUCACUGCGUUUAUGUUACGAAGCAUUUAUUUUGGGUAUUAUUCAUAUUAGAGAAAUUCAUAUAGUUUUUUUUUUUGUCUUCGCGAUGGUUGAUCUUCAAGUUAGUUAGGUUGAGUUUUGUGCUGAGUUGUUCCGGGAGUCAUUUUAUGUAUGUUUAUGUUACAAAGCAUUUAUUUGGGGUAUUAUCCAUAUUAGAGAAAUCCAUGUAGUUUUUUUUCUUUGCAACAGUUUAUCUUCAAGUUAUGUAGUUAGGUUAAAUUUUGUGCCGAGGUAUUCCGGGAGUCAAUUAAUGUAUGUUUAUGUAUUUUUAAGCAUUUAUUUGGGGUAUUAUUUGUAUUAGAGAAAUCCAUGUAGUUUUUUUUAAUCUUCAUUGCAGUUUAAGUUAGUUAGGUUAAGUUUUAUGCUCAUUUAUUCUGGGAGUCAUUUUAUGUAUGUUUAUGUUACGAAGCAUUUAUUUGGGGUAUUAUUUUACUAGAGAAGUUCAUUAUUAUUAUUAUUAUUUUUUUUAUUUACAUUCCCCUUCCACCCAUUCAUCUCUCUCUCUAAGUCACCCACAGUCUGAUUACGUGCCUGACUUGCGAACAACAGCCAAUACCCUCUGCCCUAAAUAAGGACCUGAGAGCGCGUUUAGUUCAUGUUGAGAAUCACUUAUCCAAAAUUCCUGGGACCGAAAGUGUUGCGGAUUUCGGAUUUUUUCAGAUUUCGGAAUAUUUUUAUGUGGAUCUAAAUGAAAUGAAAACUAAAAUAAGUGCUGUACUAAGCAUUUAUUUUGGGUAUCAUUCUUAAUGGAGAAGUUUAGUGUAUUAUUUUUUCUCUUAAUUCAUGCAUUGCCAGCUGUAUUUUUUUCAUAUAUAUUUUCUUUGUUUAGUUUACAUUGUUUAAAAUUUAUGUAUGGAGUGUCUUUUUAUCUUUUUUCCUUUUUUUCCUUUUUGGUACAACGUCAAUAUAAUGGGUUCAAAAAAAAUUUAUUCAUAUAUUUUCUCUCCGUACAAGUAUUUUCGUAUAUAAUUUGUGUGUUUUUUCUCGGGUAAACGUAAAGAAUUGUACCGUUUUUCUGCAUUUGUUAAUUUUGGGGUGAAAUUCAGAUCUACAUUUUUAUUAUUAUGGGAGACAAACGAGUAUCUUUUGUGGGUAUAUAUAUUUUUCUACUUUAGUUAGAUUAUAUGUAUUGCUUAAAAAUUUGCAUGAAGUAAUUUUUUUGUUUAUUUUCUUUAUGGUACAAUGGUGAUAUAAUAAGUUAAACAAUUAUUCAUAUAUUUUCUCUCCGUACAACUUUUCGUAUAUAAUUUGUGUGUUUUUCUCGGGUAAACGUAAAGAAUUGUACCGUUUUUCUGCAUUCGUUAAUUUUGGAGUGAAAUUGAGAUCGACAUUUUUAUUAUUAUGGGAGACGAAUCAUUAUCUUUUGUGGGAAUAUAUAUAUUUUUCUACUUUAGUUAGUUUAUAUUGCUUAAAAAUUUGCAUGAAGUAAUUUUUUUGUUUAUUUUCUUUAUGGUACAAUACCAAUAUAUAUAAUGAGUUAAACAAUUACUCAUAUAUUUUCUCUCCGUACAACUAUUUUCGUAUAUAAUUUGUGUUUUUUCUCGGGUAAACGUAAAGAAUUGUACCGUUUUUCUGCAUUCAGUAAUUUUAGAGUGAAAUUCAGAUCUACAUUUUUAUUAUUAUGGGAGACAAAACAGUGUCUUUUGUGGGUAUAUAUAUAUUUUUCUUCUUUAGUUUAUAUUGCUUAAAGUAAUUUUUUUGUUUAUUUUCUUUAUGGUACAAUGCCAAUAUAUAUAAUGAGUUAGACAAUUACUCGUAUAUUUUCUCUCCGUACAAGUAUUUUCGUAUAUAAUUUGUGUGUUUUUUCUCGGGUAAACGUAAAGAAUUGUACCGUUCUUUUGCAUUUGUUUAUUUUGGGGCGAAUUUCUUAUAUCUGCAUUUUUGUUUUAUAUAAAAGACAAACCAGGAAUACCUUCAUAUCAAUUUAGUUGCAAGACUUUUUACUUUUAAUCACCUUUGGGCUAAGUUCAAGAUUUUAACAUAUUACGGCAUUUUCUCCGUUUAGUUUGAUAAGAAUGUGAGAUUACUUCUAUUUCAUCUGUAUUCUGAUUCUUGUUACUUUGAUAAUCUAACAUGUCUCAUUAAAGUUGCAUUCCACAAAGACAUUUCCAAACCAAUAUUACUUUACGCUCUGGAGGUUGUGUUAGCCACGGGAUUCUCCAUCUCACGCAAUGGUCGUGUGAUCGUCAAAUGAGAUGGGAAACCCCGUGGAAACACCUUAAUGUGCUUAUUUACAACACUGAAAAGUUCUGUAUUAAUUCUUUACAUAAGCAAGUCCCAUAAGAAGCGAUAACAGGUGGUCAGUGUUCAGUGUUAAGUCAAUGAUUUUAUUCUGUUGUAUUGUGUUCCCCUUCCACCCUGUCUGUCUCUCUCUGUAAUUCACCCAUGGUCUGAUCGCUUGCUAAACUUGUGAUCAACCAAUAACCUCCCACAUAUAAGAACCUGAGAGUGAGUUAUCUUUGGGUAUAAUAAUCGGAAUCCCACUGUGUUUCCCUUCCACCCUCUCUGUCUCUCUGUAAUUCACCCACAGUCCGAUCACUUGUUAGACUUGUGAUGGACACCCAAUACCCUUCCCAAAUAAGGACCUCAGAGUAACCUAUCUUUGGGUGUAAUUGUAUGUAUUGUGUUUCCCUUCCACCCUCUCUGUCUCUCUCUGUAAUUCACCCACAGUCUGAUCGCUUGCUAGACUUGUGAUGGACAGCCAAUACCCUUCCCAAAUAAGGACCUCAGAGUAACCUAUCUUUGGGUGUAAUUGGAAUCCCACUGUGUUCCCCUUCCACCCUCUCUGUCUCUCUCUGUAAUUCACCCACAGUCCAAUCACUUGCUAGACGUGUUAUGGACAGCCAAUACCCUCCCACAUAUAAGGACCUCAGAGUAACCUAUCUUUGGGUGUAAUUGGAAUCCCAUUGUGUUCCCCUUCCACCCUCUCUGUCUCUUCCUGUAAUUCACCCACAGUCUGAUCACUUGCUAGACUUGUGAUGGACAGCCAAUACCCUCCCCAAAUAAGGACCUCAGAGUAACCUAUCUUUGGGUGUAAUUGGAAUCCCAUUGUGUUCCCCUUCCACCCUUUCUGUCUCUCUGUAAUUCACCCACAGUCUGAUCACUUGCUAGACUUGUGAUGGACAGCCAAUACCCUCCCCAAAUAAGGACCUCAGAGUAACCUAUCUUUGACUAUCAUUGGAUUUCCCACAUGACACCCACCCACCCACCAACACACACACACACACACUGCCUCAGACCCAGUACCCAUUCACUGUAGGACAAAGAAUGGCACCAAUGGAAGGAGAAGAAAAAAGUGGAAGAUGGAAGACUGGCCAUCCAUCUCCACUCCACAUGGGAAUCGAAACAGGGACCUCUGAGUUGUGAGGCGAGUGUGCUAUCCACUACACCACGGAGCUACAUAUUUGCGUGUGUGUCUGUGUCAUUAACCAAAUUUAUGUUAGCAGAAGUAAUGAUAUCAAUUCUAAAGGUAGUCAUUUUGUAGUAGUAUAAGUAGUGGGAAUAGCUAUAGUAGUAGUUGUAGUAGUAAUAGUAGUAGUAGUAGUAGUAGCCCUGUAAUUACUUUGUAUCUUCAAAUAAAAAGUUUUGAUACAGGCUUUUA
This is a long non-coding RNA of Eriocheir sinensis (Chinese mitten crab), 4352 nucleotides long. RefSeq lists it as uncharacterized. The transcript has 2 exons. The record is from RefSeq and is a predicted model, not a curated record. NCBI's taxonomy places the organism in Eukaryota, Metazoa, Arthropoda, Malacostraca, Decapoda, Varunidae.